GCGCUUGCAACCAGACUUGCAUGCAGUCGAUCAUCCGAUGUUUUCAUUGGUGCACUCGAUUGUAUUCAGGCCAGCAUUGGUUUUGGUGGUUGGAUAAAGGCCAAGGGAAUGUAGCUUCUUUCGGGGAGUGUUAUAGCCCUUGGUGCAAUGCAUCCUACUGGGACCGAGGACCGCGCUUCGGCUAGGAUGCUGGCGUAAUGGUUGUAAGCGACCCGUCUUGAAACACGGACCAAGGAGUCUAACAUCUAUGCGAGUGUUUGGGUGUAAAACCCAUGCGCGUAAUGAAAGUGAACGGAGGUGAGAACCCUUAAGGGUGCAUCAUCGACCGAUCCUGAUGUCUUCGGAUGGAUUUGAGUAAGAGCAUAGCUGUUGGGACCCGAAAGAUGGUGAACUAUGCCUGAAUAGGGUGAAGCCAGAGGAAACUCUGGUGGAGGCUCGCAGCGGUUCUGACGUGCAAAUCGAUCGUCAAAUUUGGGUAUAGGGGCGAAAGACUAAUCGAACCAUCUAGUAGCUGGUUCCUGCCGAAGUUUCCCUCAGGAUAGCAGAAACUCGUAUCAGUUUUAUGUGGUAAAGCGAGUGAUUAGAGACCUUGGGGAUGAAACAUCCUUAAUCUAUUCUCAAACUUUAAAUAUGUAAGCUCAGGAUGCUUGCUUAAUUGAAGCACCUGUAAAUGAGAGUUUCUAGUGGGCCAUUUUUGGUAAGCAGAACUGGCGAUGCGGGAUGAACCGAACGCGAGGUUAAGGUGCCGGAAUACACGCUCAUCAGACACCACAAAAGGUGUUAGUUCAUCUAG
RNAcentral lists this ribosomal RNA (793 nucleotides) under uncultured Ascomycota. Its description in RNAcentral is "LSU rRNA". It matches the Rfam family "Eukaryotic large subunit ribosomal RNA", at positions 419 to 1236 of the family's 3401-position model. The record is from RNAcentral. Lineage: Eukaryota; Fungi; Ascomycota.